Molecule: ribosomal RNA, 1457 nt
Filed under: uncultured organism
Description: 16S ribosomal RNA
Rfam family: Bacterial small subunit ribosomal RNA
Source: RNAcentral
CCUAAUACAUGCAAGUCGAGCGAACGGACGAGAAGCUUGCUUCUCUGAUGUUAGCGGCGGACGGGUGAGUAACACGUGGAUAACCUACCUAUAAGACUGGGAUAACUUCGGGAAACCGGAGCUAAUACCGGAUAAUAUUUUGAACCGCAUGGUUCAAAAGUGAAAGACGGUCUUGCUGUCACUUAUAGAUGGAUCCGCGCUGCAUUAGCUAGUUGGUAAGGUAACGGCUUACCAAGGCAACGAUGCAUAGCCGACCUGAGAGGGUGAUCGGCCACACUGGAACUGAGACACGGUCCAGACUCCUACGGGAGGCAGCAGUAGGGAAUCUUCCGCAAUGGGCGAAAGCCUGACGGAGCAACGCCGCGUGAGUGAUGAAGGUCUUCGGAUCGUAAAACUCUGUUAUUAGGGAAGAACAUAUGUGUAAGUAACUGUGCACAUCUUGACGGUACCUAAUCAGAAAGCCACGGCUAACUACGUGCCAGCAGCCGCGGUAAUACGUAGGUGGCAAGCGUUAUCCGGAAUUAUUGGGCGUAAAGCGCGCGUAGGCGGUUUUUUAAGUCUGAUGUGAAAGCCCACGGCUCAACCGUGGAGGGUCAUUGGAAACUGGAAAACUUGAGUGCAGAAGAGGAAAGUGGAAUUCCAUGUGUAGCGGUGAAAUGCGCAGAGAUAUGGAGGAACACCAGUGGCGAAGGCGACUUUCUGGUCUGUAACUGACGCUGAUGUGCGAAAGCGUGGGGAUCAAACAGGAUUAGAUACCCUGGUAGUCCACGCCAUAAACGAUGAGUGCUAAGUGUUAGGGGGUUUCCGCCCCUUAGUGCUGCAGCUAACGCAUUAAGCACUCCGCCUGGGGAGUACGACCGCAAGGUUGAAACUCAAAGGAAUUGACGGGGACCCGCACAAGCGGUGGAGCAUGUGGUUUAAUUCGAAGCAACGCGAAGAACCUUACCAAAUCUUGACAUCCUUUGACAACUCUAGAGAUAGAGCCUUCCCCUUCGGGGGACAAAGUGACAGGUGGUGCAUGGUUGUCGUCAGCUCGUGUCGUGAGAUGUUGGGUUAAGUCCCGCAACGAGCGCAACCCUUAAGCUUAGUUGCCAUCAUUAAGUUGGGCACUCUAAGUUGACUGCCGGUGACAAACCGGAGGAAGGUGGGGAUGACGUCAAAUCAUCAUGCCCCUUAUGAUUUGGGCUACACACGUGCUACAAUGGACAAUACAAAGGGCAGCGAAACCGCGAGGUCAAGCAAAUCCCAUAAAGUUGUUCUCAGUUCGGAUUGUAGUCUGCAACUCGACUACAUGAAGCUGGAAUCGCUAGUAAUCGUAGAUCAGCAUGCUACGGUGAAUACGUUCCCGGGUCUUGUACACACCGCCCGUCACACCACGAGAGUUUGUAACACCCGAAGCCGGUGGAGUAACCUUUUAGGAGCUAGCCGUCGAAGGUGGGACAAAUGAUUGGGGUGAA